UUCAGCAGCUCUGUUUGCUAACAUUCCUCAUUCAAAGCCCGGUUAACUGCCAGACGGGAGGAGCACGCGACUCCAUAGGAAACCCACAUGGCCUCCCCUAUUGUGGUGGGCCUGGAAUCGGAGGUUUAAGGGACGGAGAGGAGCAGGAUGUGCUGGUUUGUGAAUAUGAGACUGUUAUUCGAGGUUAGGGAGGGUUUUUCGAAUUGUAUAGAGCGUUUUGGCGAUUGCAGAGGUAAAUCUGUGGCAGAGAGGGGAAUGCUGAUGUAUGAAAAAGGCGUUGGGCGCAGACGGAGGAGGCUGAUACUUUCCGGGAUGCUGAAUGGGUCUCACGUUGGCGUGCCCGCCUACUCCUUGCAGCGAGUGCAGAGCUGUGUGACUGAAGCUGAAGCUCCCUGUCUCUGCCCCUUCUACAGGAAGGAUAUGUGGGCAUACUGUGCUGCCUAGGAUGUGCCCGGCGGAGAAUACAGCAGUUUUAUCCCGGAUAGCUGAUUCCAGUCUCUCCAAAGAUGGCUCAUUAUUUUGGAAUUACAUGAGUUUUCCUGGCUGGAAGUCAAAACCAAGUUUAGGAAACAAGAGGAGGCGAGCUGAUGCAGGGAGCGCUCAGACGUGACACUGCGGGGAG
Molecule: long non-coding RNA, 622 nt
Organism: Cyprinodon variegatus (sheepshead minnow)
Lineage: Eukaryota; Metazoa; Chordata; Actinopteri; Cyprinodontiformes; Cyprinodontidae
Exons: 3
Source: RefSeq, a predicted model, not a curated record